RNAcentral lists this long non-coding RNA (784 nucleotides) under Amborella trichopoda. RNAcentral's name for it is "long non-coding RNA (ATRI_LNC005524)". Lineage: Eukaryota; Viridiplantae; Streptophyta; Magnoliopsida; Amborellales; Amborellaceae. The record is from RNAcentral.
UUUGCUUGUUAUGGUUACUAACUCUUUUGAUGUAUGGUUUACUGAUAUAUGUAUUACAUACGAGUUGCUGAUGUGUUAGUAACUCUAUUGAUAUUUAUUUUUUUGCAGGUACUCACAAUCAAACUUGAGUCCUUUUUUACUGGUACCUAAGUAGAUCCCACAUGGACACUCCUCGAAAUGAAACCAUGCUUGUAGAGGGCUUUGCUUCAACCCAUUAGAAGGGCAUCCAUUGUGAAAGCACCGUUCUGCUGUAAAAAGCCUCCAUUGUUCGGUCUAUUACAAAAGGAUGGCCUCUUGAAAAAAAGUCAAAGCCUCAUGUUGAAGUUGCCAAGAAACCUAGAUAAUGUAAGGUUCCUCCAUGUAGCCAAACUGGCCAUGAUUAUAGGAAUUUUCCAUUAAGAAGAGGUUAAUUUAGUAGGUAAUCAUUAUAUGUUAGAGAACACCGUUCUUGGUGUGAUGUUGACACCAUUUUUGGGCUAGAAAUGCUACUUUGCAUAUGAGAUUUUUGAGACAACCUUGUAUAUGUAAUUUUGGAGUUGUACAUAAUGAUUAUUGUAAGUUGAAAUGUGGAUGCAAUAUUGAUGUUGUGCAUCAAAUGUCAUGAAUAUAUUUUCACUUGAUUAAAUACUCCAUCUUUUGCUAAUUCAUUAGAUAUGAUUUCAAGCAAAGCAUCAUUCUUUGUUCCUUGUGAAUGUGUUGGGGCAGGGACUGCAUUUUCCAAUUUGAUAUCAAGCAAAACCUGUUUCAUGGUAUUUCCUUCUUUUAUUUGAAAUUUAAGACUCAC